This 692-nucleotide ribosomal RNA is filed under the name uncultured Staphylococcus sp. Its description in RNAcentral is "bacterial SSU rRNA". It matches the Rfam family "Bacterial small subunit ribosomal RNA", at positions 62 to 735 of the family's 1533-position model. Lineage: Bacteria; Bacillati; Bacillota; Bacilli; Caryophanales; Staphylococcaceae. The record is from RNAcentral.
UCGAGCGAACGGACGAGAAGCUUGCUUCUCUGAUGUUAGCGGCGGACGGGUGAGUAACACGUGGAUAACCUACCUAUAAGACUGGGAUAACUUCGGGAAACCGGAGCUAAUACCGGAUAAUAUUUUGAACCGCAUGGUUCAAAAGUGAAAGACGGUCUUGCUGUCACUUAUAGAUGGAUCCGCGCUGCAUUAGCUAGUUGGUAAGGUAACGGCUUACCAAGGCAACGAUGCAUAGCCGACCUGAGAGGGUGAUCGGCCACACAUGGAACUGAGACACGGUCCAGACUCCUACGGGAGGCAGCAGUAGGGAAUCUUCCGCAAUGGGCGAAAGCCUGACGGAGCAACGCCGCGUGAGUGAUGAAGGUCUUCGGAUCGUAAAACUCUGUUAUUAGGGAAGAACAUAUGUGUAAGUAACUGUGCACAUCUUGACGGUACCUAAUCAGAAAGCCACGGCUAACUACGUGCCAGCAGCCGCGGUAAUACGUAGGUGGCAAGCGUUAUCCGGAAUUAUUGGGCGUAAAGCGCGCGUAGGCGGUUUUUUAAGUCUGAUGUGAAAGCCCACGGCUCAACCGUGGAGGGUCAUUGGAAACUGGAAAACUUGAGUGCAGAAGAGGAAAGUGGAAUUCCAUGUGUAGCGGUGAAAUGCGCAGAGAUAUGGAGGAACACCAGUGGCGAAGGCGACUUUCUGGUCU